Molecule: ribosomal RNA, 460 nt
Filed under: uncultured bacterium
Lineage: Bacteria
Description: bacterial SSU rRNA
Rfam family: Bacterial small subunit ribosomal RNA
Source: RNAcentral
GUGGCGGACGGGUGAGUAACGCGUGGGUAACCUACCCUGUACAGGGGGAUAACAGUCAGAAAUGACUGCUAAUACCGCAUAAGACCACAGCACCGCAUGGUGCAGGGGUAAAAACUCCGGUGGUACAGGAUGGACCCGCGUCUGAUUAGCUGGUUGGUGAGGUAACGGCUCACCAAGGCGACGAUCAGUAGCCGGCUUGAGAGAGUGAACGGCCACAUUGGGACUGAGACACGGCCCAAACUCCUACGGGAGGCAGCAGUGGGGAAUAUUGCACAAUGGGGGAAACCCUGAUGCAGCGACGCCGCGUGAGUGAAGAAGUAUCUCGGUAUGUAAAGCUCUAUCGGCAGGGAAGAAAAUGACGGUACCUGACUAAGAAGCCCCGGCUAACUACGUGCCAGCAGCCGCGGUAAUACGUAGGGGGCAAGCGUUAUCCGGAAUUACUGGGUGUAAAGGGUGCGUA